AGAGGCACACAGUUCUGACUAGAUACUCAACCUGAAGAUAAGCAGGUUAGGGUCUGGCCUGUACUUGGAUGGGAGACCAACCAGGAAAGCGUGGUUGCUGCUG
This 103-nucleotide ribosomal RNA is filed under the name Paramormyrops kingsleyae. Lineage: Eukaryota; Metazoa; Chordata; Actinopteri; Osteoglossiformes; Mormyridae. The record is from RNAcentral.